Non-coding RNA from Paramuricea clavata, 118 nucleotides. Lineage: Eukaryota; Metazoa; Cnidaria; Anthozoa; Malacalcyonacea; Plexauridae. The record is from the annotation of a GenBank genome assembly.
ACGCCCAUGCUCAACCCCGCAAGCCAGGCUCUCUACUUGCGCUUCCUUCCCAAACACGCUCCAGCGUUUGGGAGGGAAGCGGAAGUAGAGAGCAUGGCUUGCGGGGGUGGCCUAUGCU